GACGAACGCUGGCGGCGUGCUUAACACAUGCAAGUCGAACGGCAAGGCCCUGCUUUUGUGGGGUGCUCGAGUGGCGAACGGGUGAGUAACACGUGAGUAACCUGCCCUUGACUUUGGGAUAACUUCAGGAAACUGGGGCUAAUACCGGAUAGGAGCUCCUGCUGCAUGGUGGGGGUUGGAACGUUUCGGCGGUUGGGGAUGGACUCGCGGCUUAUCAGCUUGUUGGUGGGGUAGUGGCUUACCAAGGCUUUGACGGGUAGCCGGCCUGAGAGGGUGACCGGCCACAUGGGGACUGAGGUACGGACCAGACUCCUACGGGAGGCAGCAGGGGGGAAUAUUGCACAAUGAGCGGAAGCCUGAUGCAGCAACGCCGCGUGCGGGAUGACGGCCUUCGGGUUGUAAACCGCUUUCGCCUGUGACGAAGCGUGAGUGACGGUAAUGGGUAAAGAAGCACCGGCUAACUACGUG
Molecule: ribosomal RNA, 468 nt
Filed under: uncultured bacterium
Lineage: Bacteria
Description: partial 16S ribosomal RNA
Rfam family: Bacterial small subunit ribosomal RNA
Source: RNAcentral